Molecule: long non-coding RNA, 4183 nt
Organism: Homo sapiens (human)
Lineage: Eukaryota; Metazoa; Chordata; Mammalia; Primates; Hominidae
Gene: HAGLR
Product: HOXD antisense growth-associated long non-coding RNA
Source: Ensembl
AAAGCAGCCCAGGGCCGCCGCCCAGCGCCCCCGAGCCCCGAGGAGAGCCGUCGCGACCGGGGGCUGCCUGGGCAAGGGCGGGGCGAGAGGGCAGAACGCCUGCUCUCGGACAGGGUGUUCUUAAAAUACACCGGAAAGAACGGAGGUAAAAAUACUGGAGUGUUUCCUCCACACUGGAAAGAGAGGAGGUGGGGACGGAUAUGGUAUUUGUAGGGCAGCGCUGUGAACAAUGGAGCCAUCAAAAAGGCCUUCUCCCAGCCUCCUCACCAACCACGGACAUUCCUGGCCCAACAAGACCUCCUGGCCAGGUUUUGAGCCCUGCUUCCCAGAUCUGGGGACCCUUCACCUGCCUCUACUACUGCAAAUGAUUGGAUAUUCGUCUGACUUGGCUCUUCCCUAAUGUGUGGAACUAAUUUUGUUCACUCUGUUUCAUGCUGGACCUGGCCUGAAAAUGGGCCCUUAUAUUGUCUUUGCACUUUCCAACUUGCCAAGUUUCUGAAAGAAGGACCAAAGUAAUGCCAAGAACUCCCAGAUGAAGAGGACCUUCCUUAGACCUAUAACAGAUUCACUACUUGACUUCAGAGGGAAGUUUCAGCUAAUUCUCAGGAAAAGGUCAAAACAGGCCUGUGACUGUCCCUUGAAUACUGAAGGUAUAAACAAGCUUCUGGCUCCUCCAGGUCAAGCAGAGGAACACUUUUAUUAGAAUGAAGGGUUACUUCUUUGUUAUUCAAACACACACCCACACACAUCCUCUGUAGUCUCCCUAAUGAAAAACCUCAACAGAUGGAGAGCCUGAGCUCCCAAGUCCGCAGGCUGAGAAGAUGCACUUCACUCAAGGGCCAGUGGGCUGGUACAGACUAGGGAAGAGAAAAGGGACAAAGGCUGCUAGUAUAGGUAAUCACUAUCUUUUAAUACUCCUAACACAUAGAAAUUCGAAAAAUCUUGUUCAGCAAUGUUAGCAGCCUGUGAGCCUCGGAAACUAAUUUGGCUGAUGUGUCUCUGAUAGGGAGCUUGGGGCUGCACCAAGGGGAAACAUUCUCCUCCUGUAUUCUCUCCUCUCUCUCGUUUGAAAGCCUGUACAAAGAAAUGGUACAAAUGGAUGGUUAACUUAAUGAUUCCAUCAGAGGCAGAUUUUUCUCUGUCAGGUCCCUGGAUAAGGUGGAGGUCUGAAAGCCAGGAGACAGAAUAUGUACUUAAUCGCCCUUUCUGACCUGCUUACCAGUGACCAGGACUACUCUCCAGGCCUUUCUUCUGCCACUUCCCCAUUCUUCCUGGCUAGUUCAGUUGGGUCUCAGCACUUCAACUCCUGGCUGGAUCCUGAGUUUUUCUUGGUUGCAGGGAAAGCUCUCACUGUCUGCAUCUCCUUCCCCACCCCCACCUCCCGUUUUGCAGCUGGCCAUUCUGGCUGCCUCACAGCUAUCCUGCCUUAAUUCAUAUUUGAUUGCCUGGACAGAACCACCUAGAAUGUCCAGACGACUGCCACCCCUCAGCCAUGGGCCUGAGAUCCUGCCCUGACCCCUUUCUUCAGACCCCAGGAGGACCCACAAUCUCCCUGAUCCCCACCUUCCCCAAAGUAGUCUCUAGGAAAAAAGCAGAGCUGGCUAAGGCCUGAGACAGAGCCAUUUCUUCCCCUUGGGCAAACGAGGUAGACCCUCCCAGAGACCAAUGCCGGAGAGGCCCGGAUCCGAGCUCCCUUUAUAUGGCCUCCCCCAUCACGGAUCCCGUGGGAAAACCUGACACACAAUGGCGCGGCUGCUCCGGGCACCCUCAACCCAGCGCCCUGCGGCAAGGCCUGGAGCAGCCUGGUGGUCUUGGUGCGCUCCCUUUGCCCUCCCCGCAACCCUCUGCGAGCACUCGUCCCAGGAGAGAGACCCUGGCUAGGGUGGAGGUUGCCUCCCGCAAAGGGCGCUGUUGCUGGGGCCUCCCCUCCCCCAUUCUCUUGUUUUUCUGCUUCUGAGACUCGGGAGGGAGGCGGCAGGCGCCUCCGCAGCCGAUAGAGCAGCUAUUGUGACCUUCCCUUGCAGAGCGGGAACCCAGCCGAGUGUGUACCGCCGGCGGUGGCGGGGGAGGAGGCGACUGUGUGUGCAAACCUCAGUCGGAGAGGGGGUGGCGCUGGGAAAUAAAGGUUUGCAACCUCAGGCAGUUGGGCCCUUCAGAGGGCGUUUGGUUGUGUUUAGACUCGGUUGCUUUCUAACACUAAUUGCAGGCUCAAAAGGAGCGGAAUUUAUUGCGAAGGCCAAGGCGGCUUGUUUAUAAUUUAUGAAGUUUUAAAUGGCUGUGCCGCGGGCCCCAACUUUCUCCUGGGCUGGCAGCCGCGCGGAAACGCGCCCUCCCCCGGCUCGCCGCCCACCCCCACCCACGCCCCUCAGAUGAGUCUCACGCCAAUGGCAGGAACAGAUCCGAGCUAUUAGAAGUCUCGGGAACCUCCAGAGAUGACAGAAGGUGGCAGAUUUGGUCCAAGCCCUCACCCCACUCGAGAGGAGGGCGUCGGGGAAAGCUGUGGCUGCCUGGAGAGGGAGCCCCUGAUCCCACACUUCCUUGGAGCCUGAGUGUGAGAGGAAGCUAAUGUCAGCCGGGCUAGACACCGUUUAAAGUCUAAUCCAUGAAACCCUAAGCCGCAAAUGACACUUGGGGCUUUGCAGACACCCGCAGACUCAGCAGAUACUCCUGCGGUAACACACUGUGCUGGAAAACGCCUGGAGCCAUGACACAUUACGUAUUUUUAUUAUUAUUUAUGGUAGGAAGAGGAGAUGAGGGAAAAUCGGGCUGAAUCUAAGCAGCCUGACAAUUCAGCUAGUUAAUAUUUAGCCAGUUAAGAAAGGUGGUUGUAAUCCCUGCAAGGCAGUGAGCUCUCCUUUGAUUUCUCUAAUAGCUUAAAAAAUAAUUUCUUACAAGACAAUUAGAAAUUCUGCCUAUGGAUGCAAAUUUCAUAGAAAACAAUGUUAAGCCUUGAAAGUGGGUAAAAUGUGCCUUCGAUUGAAGUCAUUUAUUCUGUUGAUACACUUCUACAACAUAUAUAUUUUAAACCUGCUCAGAUAAAGUGAAAUUUAGCAAAAGGAUAUCCCCUCCCACCCCCAAAUCUAACAUGCCAUUUUAAAAACAGCACAAAGGAACAAGGAAACUAAAUAUUAUUUUGAGCCAUCAUUACUUAGUGAAAUACAAACAUCCAAAUAGAAACGAUUGUUGUUCCACCAGAAGAUUAGAAGUUAAAUUAUUUCCACACAAUAGGAAUUUCACUUCGUGUCAUCGGGGAUGUAGUAGGAGUUGCAUUAUUUGUCAAACCAAAUAGAGAUGCGUGGGCUGACUUUGCUGAAAUACAAAAGAAUUGAACCUUAUCUGAAGGCGUUUUCUAAGUGGCCCCUCCCAUAGAAGCCGGGAAGUUGUCCACCCCUAGCAGAAGCCACAUUAAUAUUUACAAAAUGGUUAUAAAUCCUUGAAGACAUUUUUGCCCAUUUUGUAUAAGAAACAGGAGUAAACAAGGUGUUUAUACUUGUUAUGUUUCAUUAAUGAAAUAUUAUUACUUUACAUCUUGGGGAAUGUUUGUUUUCUUUAGAAAUGAACUAAUGAUCACUACAAAGGAAGAAUUCAUGACAGCAUUUCCUAGAGAAAAAGCUUAGGUACGCGUCUCCAAAUGAUGGUUUCUUUUUCUACACCUUAGCUUUUUCAUAGCUCAAUUCUUCUUACAACUUCUCUUGUGUUUUUUCUUUGAUUGUCAGUUUUCUUUCAAAGUUUAUUUUUUGUUACUUAAUGCAGAAAAGUGAGCUCUGGUCUCCCCAGUGUAAAAGUCGAUUGUGUCUAGAAAGAAGGCAGUAAAAACAGCAAAGCAGGCGCUGCUUUCAAAAAGCCCUGCCCAAAUCAUCCCGCCCAGAACCUUCUUAGGUUUGCAUCCUCAUUUCCCCCUCCCCUAAUUUCAAUAGCUGGAAAGUAAUCAAGUAUCCCGAGAACCAAUUUAUGCACUAGACUCCAAAUAAAUAAAAUAUUUUUUUCAAAGUGUCAGUCUGUUUCGGGGCCUUCCAUGGGGAUUGUGCGAGAUAAAGGCAUAGUGAUCUGCUUGCAAGUGUGCAUGAUUAACACAGAUACAGUUCCGACUGGGAAAUUUUUUUAUUCUAAAUAUUUGUUCCAAUAGUACCAGACAAUUUGAAAUCAAUAAACUGUGGUGAGGACUGUGGUUUUUGAGAAAUGA